CUCGAUUAGCAUCACAAGUAUUGGCCGACCGACUUCCCGCUUGCUCGACUAUCAUCGCAAGUAAUGGUCGGCCGCCCACUACACUUGCUCGAUUAACAUCGCAAGUAAUAGCUGGCCACCUAUCCUUAGUUGUUCGAUUAAAGAUCACAAUUAAAUGGCCGAUCGCCCGUUCUUGUUCGAUUAAAAUCACAAUUAAAAGGCCGACCGCCCAAAUCCAACUUAUUUGAUCACACCUAGGGUCACGUCACACCUCGAGAAAUGGAAUAGCCGCACGAUCAAGGGAAACCGACCGACACCCAUCAUUAAAGACUCAUCGGACAUAUGUAACACAUCUGCCCUUGAGCCUGGGGGGCAAGUGUACCGGUAUGGCC
This 371-nucleotide long non-coding RNA is filed under the name Phaseolus vulgaris (common bean). Its description in RNAcentral is "long non-coding RNA (PVUL_LNC003823)". The record is from RNAcentral. Lineage: Eukaryota; Viridiplantae; Streptophyta; Magnoliopsida; Fabales; Fabaceae.